GAUGAACGCUAGCGGCAGGCUUAAUACAUGCAAGUCGAGGGGCAGCGGGUGUAGCAAUACAUGCCGGCGACCGGCGCACGGGUGCGUAACGCGUAUGUAACCUACCUUUAACUGGAGGAUAGCCCCGAGAAAUCGGGAUUAAUACUCCAUAAAAUUAUGAGAAGGCAUCUUUUUAUAAUUAAAGCUCCGGCGGUUUUAGAUGGGCAUGCGUGACAUUAGCUAGUUGGUGAGGUAACGGCUCACCAAGGCUCCGAUGUCUAGGGGUUCUGAGAGGAUUAACCCCCACACUGGUACUGAGACACGGACCAGACUCCUACGGGAGGCAGCAGUAAGGAAUAUUGGGCAGUGGACGCAAGUCUGACCCAGCCAUGCCGCGUGAAGGAUGACGGCCCUAUGGGUUGUAAACUUCUUUUGUACGGGAAAAAACCUUCGAACGUGUUCGAAGCUGAUGGUACCGUAAGAAUAAGCAUCGGCUAACUCCGUG
Molecule: ribosomal RNA, 484 nt
Filed under: uncultured bacterium
Lineage: Bacteria
Description: bacterial SSU rRNA
Rfam family: Bacterial small subunit ribosomal RNA
Source: RNAcentral